This 3239-nucleotide long non-coding RNA is filed under the name Capsicum annuum. RNAcentral describes it as "long non-coding RNA (CANN_LNC014568)". The record is from RNAcentral. Lineage: Eukaryota; Viridiplantae; Streptophyta; Magnoliopsida; Solanales; Solanaceae.
UAGAUACACUAGAUAAAUUGAUACGGGAGAUAUAAAAUUGAUGCAGAAUAAAUUUGAUACAGAUUCACUGAUACAAACAGAUACAUUGUGAAGUUACAGAUAUAAAAAGUCAAAUUUGCAUUAGUGUAUAUUUAACAUUAGAAACACGUAUUUUUAUGCCAAAGACAUGUAUCUGCAAAAAAAAAUUAUUAAAUUAAUACUAAAUACAUUGAAUUAAUAGGAGAUACAUUAGAUAAAAUUGUUAGUAUUGGAUACACCAAAUGAAAUUGAUAUUGAAUAUAGAUACAUUUGAUUCAACAUAUACACAAAAUUUUAAAAUAUAGAUACAUUGUGAAAACAUCGAUACAAUAAAAGCACAGAUCAAUGAUGAAGGGAAAAAAUUGAAAACAAGGAAAAUUUGUAUCCUAUGAUGGACUUUAUGUAUAAUUUUUUGUGGUAGUCAAGAUUACUACUAGUAUAUAUUAAAACAGUACAGUGAGGUGCCCGAGAGCAUUAUUACAAACACAGUCGUUAGAGGUACUAGGUACAGAACUAACUGCAGCAGAACACGUAAUAUGGCAAAAACCUGAGGAAGUGGGAUUAGGUUUGGGUCUAUUGACACUAAAUUAUUCCAUAUCUAUAUCUAGUAGUUUUAGUACAAACGGAAGAGCUGUGAACCAAAACGUUAUGUCACUUCACGUGAUUGAUGCAUCACAAUUUGCCAAAAUAUUUUCUACUAUGUUGGAAUCCUUGUACAUGUGGUAGAUAGGGGAUCAUGGAGUAGCUUCAAGAGGGACCUGCAAUUGUCAAUUAUAUGCGAGUAGAUUGGUAGUGGGUCGAAUAGAAUAUCUAUUACUUCUACUCAAUCCACUAUAAUGUAUAGAGAAAAAUAUUCAUGUUGGUAUGUAAGUUGGAGCCCUUGGAGUAGCGCUACAAGUUUUUGCAUAACCAUAGACGUUUCAGUAGUACAACUUGCAAAACCUAUAAACCAAUCACCCAAGUUAGUUCUAAGAACCCCUCCGAUCUUGCCAAAUUAGAUGUAUUGGGUGCUGAUGUAUUGGGUACUUCGGCAUCAUUAUGGAGGUAGAUAGUGUCUGGGUGGGUAAUAGGUAGCCUUGGAGGAGUAGAGUGGCCGCGGGAUACAGGAGUCGAGAUAGUAGAAUGUAGAGCAUGAUAAAGUCCAUGGCUAAAUGUUACUACUACAUGCAGUGAUGGUUAAGAGUUGUUGUUCUCGAAUGUAUUUUUAUUUUGAGUUAACUAGAGAUGCCAGAGUAAGAAGGGAAAGAAAAUUAUUUGUGGUAAGGCAGAGACAUAGACAGGCUUAUGGUGCCAAUGAAGUAAACUUCGGAGCCAGGUAGUCUGUACUAAAGGGGUAGAGCCUGGAAUAGAGGGAAUAUGUUGUAGCAACUAGAGAUGGCGCCAAAGAGGUUUGGCAGCGAAUAGUGGAAAAAGAUGUGGUAGAUGGAUUCGGGUAAUGCAUGGCAAGUAGCGCAAAGAGGGGAUUGGAUGGCUCAACUGUAAUGAAGGUACGCAGAAGUUGGCAGGCGUUGAUGAACCAUGAGCCAAAGGAAGGUGUGAAGCUUAGGAGGAAGCUUAAGUUUCCAAAUCCAGGUUUAAAAGUUUGGGGUUGAGGGAAUGUGGGCGAGUGCAUGAUAGCAAGAUUUGACAGUGAAUCUACCUAUGGGAGUUAGACCCCAAACAAUCUGAUCAUAGCACUUAUCGUUGUUGGGAACCUGUGAUAUAUAAUAAGAGUAAAUUAAAUGUCGAAUCUGGGGAGGUAGGUCGAAGGAAAGCGACAUUUGUCCAUUUAGGCAGUCUUUAAUGGUCUGUUUUUCAUCAUUAGGAUUAAAAGGUCCUGAAAUCAUAUUCUGGAGGAUGAUUUUAGGUCUGAUCCAGGGGUCCAUCCAGAAUCUGAUGUUGGACCCAGUGUGGGUAUGCCGAACAAGACCUUCCUGGCAGGUAUUCCACCCUACUUUAUGUAUAAAUUUGAAUGUUCUAAUCCCUUUUUUUUAGAGGGGGGUUACGUGUGUUGCUUAAAAAAAUUUCAAUCCCUUGAUUUCAACCCUACUUAUGUAUGCCAAUUACAUCAACAAAAAAAAAAAUGGUUCCCCUUUCGGUUCUCGCUUUUAUCUAAGAUACACGAAUCUCUCUAAUGUAUCUAGGCUAAAUUUUAGACUGACUAUAUAAUUUUUGAAACGGUAGUGCCACCUAAUAAUUAGGUCUGUUUUAUGCGAUUUGCUCACAAAUCUCUCAUUAUAUUCCAAGCCCAAACCAAUGUGUCACAAUCCUUUUAAGGGUCGUUCGGUAGAAGAGAUAAGAAAAAUAAUUUCGAAAUAAAGUUUGAAAUUAACUUUAUCUCAUGUUUGGUAUAAAGGAUUACUUAAUCCCGAGACUAUUUUAUUCCACCAUUUAAGUAUAAAUGCUGGGAUUACUAUCCCAUAAAAAGAAAGGGAUAAAAAAAUUUCAUGGAAUAUCUCACCUCAUGAGAUAUCCUUAUUUAUUUGAUUCAGUGUACCAAACGACCCUAAUGGGCCAACGCUGAUGGGCUUAACCAGUUCACCGCAUAGUUAAUCCAAAAUACACAAGCAAGUUGUUGGAACCUCCUUCAAGAAUAUUCUCAAAAUUCUGCUUAACCACAAAUGAAAGGAAAAGAUUUCCAUGGAGUAGGAUAAGUGGGACCCACUUAACGCAAAUCUUCUACCAGCCUUACACUUUCCACCCCAUAAUUGCCAACACAAUCUAAGACCACUCCGCUCCCCCCUACCCCCGAAACUACCCAAAUAUUACAGAAUGAACUUUAAAGUUUGAAAUUUUAGUGAUUAAAAGAAAAGGGAAUUCCAAGAAAGUCACAAUGGCAGCAUCAACAGCAACAACUUCAUAUUUAUGUGCUCUAGACAAAAAGACUCCAUUUUUAUGUUCUCUAGACAAAAAGACUCCAUUUUUAUGCCCAAAAAACAGCACAAAGAGAAGAUCAUUUCAUGGAGGAGUAAAGUGCAUGGCAAUAGAGACAGCAGCAAGUUUUACACAGACCAAGAAAAGGAGUGGCUAUGAACUACAAACUUUAACUAGUUGGCUAUUGAGGCAAGAACAAGCUGGAGUUAUUGAUGCUGAACUUACCAUAGUGAUUUCAAGCAUAUCAAUGGCUUGUAAGCAGAUUGCUUCCUUGGUCCAAAGAGCUGGCAUUUCUAACCUUACUGGAGUUCAAGGUGCUGUCAAUGUUCAAGGUGAAGAUCAGAAGAAGCUUGAUGUUGUCUCUAAUG